AGGCAACAGGGGUUUAGCACUAGGACCCAGGUAAAGGGGCAGAGUCUAUAAAUAGGGAAGGGAAGAUCACCUGGUCCUUUCUUUCUGCAGUCACACACCUGAGGGAGCAGCUGAGGCCAGCCUUUGUUUGGUUCUUGAUUGGACUUCGUGGUGGUGAGGGUCCAAAGCUUGGAGUGAUUGUCCAAACACAUCAGCUAAAGCACAGAUCCCAGUCACCUGCAUGCCUUCAACGGCGGGAGGGGAAUGUGUUUCUAAGUCAAACAAGGCUGUCGGGCAACACCCUGUUGCCGCUACCAAGCCUGCCUGUCUGUUUGCUGGUUCCAAGCCCAGCUGUCUAGUUCCAUUUCUCAAAAUAUUAGCCCAGGAUGAACGGUGCAGUCAGCAAAGGUUACAAGGAAGAUGUAGGAAGCAGAACAUCGGUGUACGUUCACACGGCUCACACUGUCACUGCAUCGGUUAUAUUGCUGAAGAAGUACGGAUACACAUCUGUCCCUCAUGAUGAGGGUAUAAAAUAUGUGCUGAUUCCUGAGGGGAUUAGGGAUUUCAACUGGCUCGAGGGUCUUUUGAAAGGAGAAAAGAUCUCUACCGGUCAAUACAUCAACCGACGGUUAACGCAUAUGGAUUCAUGACUAAGGACUACAAGAAAUAUUCCAACUACUAUGUUGAGAAGAAUGUUAAAACUGAUGUCAUUUUCUACACCAACCACGACAUGAAUUUGUGGAAAAAACUGCAUGACAGCAUGACAAAAUAAUGAGGCUAUAUCAAAGAACAGACUCAGAAACUGUGUUGGACCGUGACUUUAAAUGAACCUUUUUAAACUAUGUGUAGUUCUUCGUCCUGCGUGUUCUUUCAUGAAGCAAUAGGAGAAGAUGUUUUUGGUCCAAGUUAAUCAGUUUUAUUACAAGUAAAUGAAUAAAGCUUACAGAGCUC
Micropterus dolomieu (smallmouth bass) is the source of this 930-nucleotide RNA transcript. It is a transcript of the gene named alpha-N-acetylgalactosaminide alpha-2,6-sialyltransferase 2-like, with no coding region annotated. Lineage: Eukaryota; Metazoa; Chordata; Actinopteri; Centrarchiformes; Centrarchidae. The record is from RefSeq and is a predicted model, not a curated record. The transcript is spliced from 7 exons.